This is a non-coding RNA of Rattus norvegicus (Norway rat), 69 nucleotides long. The record is from Rfam. Lineage: Eukaryota; Metazoa; Chordata; Mammalia; Rodentia; Muridae.
GGGGAUUUAGCUCAGUGGUAGAGCGCUUGCCUCGCAAGUGCAAAGACCUGGGUUCGGUCCCCAGCUCCG